Molecule: ribosomal RNA, 258 nt
Filed under: Myrothecium sp. IMER1
Lineage: Eukaryota; Fungi; Ascomycota; Sordariomycetes; Hypocreales; Stachybotryaceae
Description: 5.8S ribosomal RNA
Rfam family: 5.8S ribosomal RNA (bases 3-156)
About the family: 5.8S ribosomal RNA (5.8S rRNA) is a component of the large subunit of the eukaryotic ribosome. It is transcribed by RNA polymerase I as part of the 45S precursor that also contains 18S and 28S rRNA.
Source: RNAcentral
AAAACUUUCAACAACGGAUCUCUUGGUUCUGGCAUCGAUGAAGAACGCAGCGAAAUGCGAUAAGUAAUGUGAAUUGCAGAAUUCAGUGAAUCAUCGAAUCUUUGAACGCACAUUGCGCCCGCCAGUAUUCUGGCGGGCAUGCCUGUUCGAGCGUCAUUUCAACCCUCAGGCCCCCAGUGCCUGGUGUUGGGGAUCGGCCCAGCCUUCUCGCAAGGCCGCCGGCCCCGAAAUCUAGUGGCGGUCUCGCUGUAGUCCUCC